Molecule: ribosomal RNA, 382 nt
Filed under: uncultured bacterium
Lineage: Bacteria
Description: bacterial SSU rRNA
Rfam family: Bacterial small subunit ribosomal RNA
Source: RNAcentral
GACGAACGCUGGCGGCGUGCUUAACACAUGCAAGUGGAGCGACGAACCAGGCUUCGGCCUGGGGCAGAGCCGCGAACGGGUGAGUAACACGUGGGUAACCUGCCCCGAUGACUGGGACAACCCGAGGAAACUCGGGCUAAUACCGGAUGUGCUGCUCUCGCUCAAGUGAGAGUAGGAAAGGAAGCUUCGGCCUCCGCAUCGGGAUGGGCCCGCGGCCCAUUAGCNGUUGGUGAGGUAACGGCUCACCAAGGCUUCGAUGGGUAGCUGGUCUGAGAGGACGAUCAGCCACACUGGGACUGAGACACGGCCCAGACUCCUACGGGAGGCAGCAGUGGGGAAUAUUGCGCAAUGGGCGAAAGCCUGACGCAGCGACGCCGCGUGU